RNAcentral lists this small nuclear RNA (159 nucleotides) under Schistosoma curassoni. Its description in RNAcentral is "U1 spliceosomal RNA". It matches the Rfam family "U1 spliceosomal RNA". From Rfam's summary of the family: U1 is a small nuclear RNA (snRNA) component of the spliceosome (involved in pre-mRNA splicing). Its 5' end forms complementary base pairs with the 5' splice junction, thus defining the 5' donor site of an intron. The record is from Rfam by way of RNAcentral. Lineage: Eukaryota; Metazoa; Platyhelminthes; Trematoda; Strigeidida; Schistosomatidae.
AAACUUACCUGGCGCCGGGUUGAGGGUGAUCAGGAAUGCUCUGACCCCGGGUGGAGGCUCACCAUUGCACCUCGGUUGGUUGAAACUCGCGAAGAACCCUAAUCGGAUGCGCUAUGGCGUGUAGUUCUUGUCAGUGGGGAGGUCUUACAGUCCUCCCUC